Juglans microcarpa x Juglans regia is the source of this 4436-nucleotide RNA transcript. RefSeq lists it as uncharacterized. Lineage: Eukaryota; Viridiplantae; Streptophyta; Magnoliopsida; Fagales; Juglandaceae. The record is from RefSeq and is a predicted model, not a curated record. The transcript has 13 exons.
CAAUGAGGUGGAGAUUUUCUAAGAAACGCAUCGGAGCCGUGGAUUCUGGGCCGUCGAGCUCUAUUUUCACGUCAUUCCAUGAUCGACGGUUCACACUUGGCAGUCACUCGUAGCCGUUAGAUCACCGCCGAAUGUGAUGCUAGAGAGAGGAAGAAAGAAGAAAAAGGCCAAAGGCGGAAGGGACAGAGAAAGGUGGUGGCAGUUUCGCGACGCAGCGCGAUUUUACGGUGCCAACCUUUGGUUUUCUUCGGUUUUUUUAUUUAUUAUUAUUUCUGUCGGAGCUCGUGCUUGAUAUUUUUGUGAGAGGAAUGAGCUUCAGAGCACUGAUGUGUGAAAUCUGUAAUGCUUUUUUGGGAUUUUCCUUUGACUUUCUUUUCUGGUUUAAAUUUCCACUCUCAGAUUUUAUUUUUAAUUUUUUAAAUUGGAAGAAAGAGUGAUAAUAUAUAGGGGGAGUCGGCAAUGAAGAUGGGUUUGGAAUUGUUGGGAGAUUCGCGCAUUAAUGGGGUUUUCUUUGAUUCUCCAAGUGAAUGAAUGUGAUUCAUCCGGUAUUUUGGUUCAAGGACUUUUUUUUCGGGUAUUUAUGAUCUUUUCUAUUUUGUCUGCCAAGUGCCAAUGUUACCUGGCUGGCUCUCUCUAACACACUCUCUCUCUCUGGCCCCCUUUUUCUGUUCUGUUACCCUGCUUUAUUUCACGAAGAACCUGAUUCUCUGAACACGAGGAACGAAUUUCCUUCGUUUGUUUUCUGCCAUAUCUUUACCAGCCUUUUGCCUCUGCCUCCUGUGUUCGUGUGUUUGUUUUUUUGUUCUAUUUCACCGUCGAGAUGCUUGCGAGCACUUCUACUGUGAGCUCAGAGAGAGAGAUAGAGAGAGAGAGAGAGAGAGAGAGAGAGAGAUGCGGAGGGAUAUGUGGCAACUAUAAUUAAUUUUGUCUUUCGUUGGAAAACCCAAACGCCACCUUUCCCGUUUUCUUUCCGGCGAGCUUUUCGCUAGAAACUAAAACAAAACAAGAAAAAAAGACUACGAUGUUCUCAUCUACUUCUUAUUCACAUUUUCAUUUUUUUCGUUCGUUGCAAUAACGGAAACAUUUUUUUCUCCGAGCUUUGAUUUCUCUGACUCGUCUUUCUCUUCUGUGAUUGAAGAAACUCAAAUUCUCGAAAGUCGAAUGAUCAUAAAUACAUAAAGAGAGCUGGGCGUUCAGUCUCGUGACUGGUUGGGUCCGAUUAAAUUCCGAGCCGUUGAAGCCUUUUUCAAAACUCAGAUGUUGGGAAGUCAGAAAUGGACAAAGUUCGAGACGUGAGGCGUGGAGCCAGUCGGUUCUCUCCUGCCAAGCCCGACAAGCUCUUCUCUGGGUCAGAUGGUGUUGGUGGGGACUUCGUACAUGGGGAAUGAUCGAAUGAAGAUAGAAGAUUGAGAGUUGUUGGUAGGACAAGCUCGAGCUACGAAGACGACGAAAUGGUUAGCGAUCUGUCCGACAAAGAAGAUGAGCUUCGCUUACAAGCACCGUCUAUGAGUAUUGGUUCUAGCAAGAGAUUUAAGAUUCCCAAAAAGUUUUUUUAUGACCGCAAUGGUGUGGAUCAGGCCUCUGUUCCGAGAAGGCUGCGUUCAGGUGCUUGGCGAAUCAAACAAGCUGACAUGAAGAAGCGCAAUCACGAAUCAGUUUCUCCACCUUUACCAGAUUCAAAGAAGGUGAACAGUACAAUCAGCGGAGUCGAAGAAUCACCCAUAAAAAAUGGUGUAAAGAAAUCUAAACUGAACUUGAAACAUAGAGGCUCAGACUGGUCCCCAGAACAGACUUUCUCUGGGCAAAUAACAAAAGAGGAGGAAGAAGUAGUGGAAACCUUGUAUGCAUUGGCUGGAAUGUUCCCCAACAAUGAUGCAAAUGAGAAGAGUAAAUUAGACAGAGAAUAUACAGAAGCAAGACCUUUGGCUUUUCCAGAGUCAAGGGAGAAUCCAUUGUCUAUGCAAGAUUCUGCAGUUACAAAUGACGACUUAAGUACAAUGCCUUGGAAAUUAUCCAAUGUUACCAAUCCCUCAUCCAACACGGAUAGUUUGCCCAAAGAAACUCCAAAAGUAGAUUCUUUGAAUGAACCCAGUAUUCAAGAACGGCCAGAUUUAUCUAACAGAGAGAAAAUUCAUAUGGAGUCAGAUUGUCCCGUUCCCCAAUUGAAUGCAAGUAGCAUGUCAUUCUUGGCUAAGAGUGACAGUGGCAGUGACGGUGAAAAGCCAUUGCGCAAUUAUGAGCUAAGCUUGACUGCCAGAUUAAAACUACCUACACAACCGGAGACCCCACUAAUUGAGAAAGAAUCAGAGAUGGCAAUGGGGCCAGUAAAUGUAAUUUCCAAGUCUAAACUAAAUGGGGCCAUAACUAUUGCAUCUGAACCGGAACAACCAAAAAUGAUCAAGGAGCCCAAGAAAAAUGGCUCGGCAUUGUGGCCAGGCUUGUCUUCAGUUGUGCCACAUGGAGUCGGGAGUCCUGGUCCUUCUUUACAGUCCCCUGCUGCUGAAGUUCCAGGUUGGCUCGAUACUGAAAUGAUUGCCCGCAGACACAGGUCAUUUGAAAAUGGUUCUUCAAGUGGAGAGGUUUCAAAAGUUGACAUCGAAAAAGAUACAUGGAAGAGGUGCUCUGCUCAUGUUCAUAUAAGUCAUCUCAUUCAGAAUUUACAAAUGCCAGAGAACCAAGGGAGGCUGCUGCUGCAAUCUAAUCAAUUGAAACUCGAGAAAGGACCAAAUCUUGGAGCUCGUAUGGCACUUAACAGCUUUCAUGGGGUGAGGACUAGUUUCAACGGCACUAUUUCUUCUACCACUACAUGCAAUUCAACUGAUGAAAGAAAUUCAAAUGACGCUAAAACUGGUAUUCUUUGGCAACAACAACUCCAUCAAGAUCAGCCCCAUGCUGCUCUGGCAUCUGAGGCGUACACUUCGCAGAAGCAGAGUUUCAAUUUCUUGUCCUUGUUCGCUGGAGGUGGUGGGAUGGAAGCUAAGAAUUGUGGUGAUAGAACUAUUUAUGGGUUGGAUCCUUCGUCACAAUGCCAAGUUCCUUAUCUUCAAUCUCUUGCACAACAGCAGACUCUUUUGCCUUUCGCUAUGCCUCAAACUCGCUAUACCUCCGCUGCUUACCCUGAUCAGCUUUCGAUAACAUCAUCAGCAGCAAAUAAGGUGCAGAUGCGGGUAGCUCCAUUUCUUGUCAAUCCAUUCAGCGGUCGUCAUGUAAGUUCUGCAGCCUUGACAACGCAGCAGCAGCAACAGCAACAACAACAGCAUCAGCUGCAGCAACAUCAACGACAUCAGCAACAGCAACACCUUUGGGCUGCCCAGCUAGCAGCUCAUUACAGGCAUGUGGCAACUUCAAUAUCCAUGACCCAAAUUUCGAGCUGGCAACAGGGAAGGCAGGAUCCUCCUAUGCUGAUCCCAUGUGCCCAAGCCAGUAUCCCACCAUCCCUAGAGGUACUUGGCCCUAAGUAUGCUACAGCCUCUCAACAAAAGCAGCGCCUUAUGGCCAUUACUCCAUCAUUGCCCCAGCCCAGAUUAAAAAACAAGACAACCUUUUCCCCUCUACCUACGGAGAGACCGAAGGAGGGUUCCAUGCCAGUGGCGUGCUGCCAUUGCAAUUACUCUGUAAUGAGCACCUUUGAUGUGACUUUCACUGGCAGUUUAAUAAGGCAAUGGGGUGGGCAAUACAAUAUUGCAUCAAUUCUUUCUGUUCAUACUCAAGUCUUCACGUGGCAUGAUCAAAAAAGUGCAGAUACAUGCAAGGUUCGACUGAUUGCCAUGUAUGGAAUAUCAAAUGAUCAGAAAAUAAUGCCGUGCAUUUCAUAAUAUCAAAUGAUCAGAGAAAGAAGAGCAUCCAAGUCAGGCAAAGGAAAAUUGCUGGGACAUGUGCAUAUGUUGGGGGAAAACCUGAGACCUGUCAGCUGCUGGAGAUGCUUUACUGCUUUAGGGGUUAAGGUUAAUGCUAACCACCCAAAGAAUGAAGGGGAAACGCCAAAAUAUAAAAAGGAUAAAGUAGUAAAGAAUGAGAUCAGAAUAUGGGUCUUAAGCAACUUCAGUGGAAUUCCGGCAUUGGCUCAGCGACAAUCACAGGAUGGGUUCUGCUAGGGAAAUGGUGAUGUCUCUCUCUCUCUCCCUCUCUCCCUCCUUUUUGGGGGUUGAAUAGACUAUCAAGAGGAAGAUUUUACAAACUACACUUUCAUCCCACUAUGAUAAGGUAGCAUUGUCCAUCAAUCUUUAAAUUUCUUCUUUAAAAAAAUACAGGAUGAUUAAGGGCAAUAAAAGUGCAACAUAUGACUAGAAUGAGAGUGAGAUGAGAAUGGUUUGUGGAUGUUCAUAGAUAACGAAUCAAUCCUUCAAAUAUGUUAGAACCAUGUACUCGAUUAUGCACCAUCAAUGUCAUUUUCAUUGCAUGAUAAUGCAUUUAAGUAUCGUGAAACGUGAUUUCAA